Oncorhynchus tshawytscha (Chinook salmon) is the source of this 601-nucleotide long non-coding RNA. The record is from Ensembl. NCBI's taxonomy places the organism in Eukaryota, Metazoa, Chordata, Actinopteri, Salmoniformes, Salmonidae.
UUGUAACGGGGCCAGAAGACCUGAACCAAUAACUUCUGGGGCAUGUACUGAACCAUCUUUGGUAAACCCAUCCCACGCCUCCAGAGGGCACAAGAGCACAUCAACUAGAGUAUAGGGACACAGUAUACACUCUGUUCUCUUCUAGCCCAGUUGAAGUGAAGCAGCCUUACCUCAAGUGACACUGCCACAAAAGUAGGAUAACUCAACCCCAUAUUCCAAACUAAUACAGUGUAUCAUUGAUAUGAUUUAUGUCAUAUUAUAAAUCAUGGGUUAUUUUCUUACAGAAACAUGUGGGGUGUUGAGAAAUCACUGUGAACUAAUCCUGGUCUGUGUUGGACUCCUCUGGGCUACAGCAUGACUGAACAGUCCAAAACAGCUCAGUUAGAGUAUCCACUGUCUGUCUAAACAUAGAAAUAGAGGCCAGGCUUCAGGCAGAGCAUCCACUGUCUGUCUAAACAUAGAAAUAGAGGCCAGGCUUCAGGCAGAGCAUCCACUGUCUGUCUAAACAUAGAAAUAGAGGCCAGGCUUCAGGCAGAGCACCCACAGUUAUAGCUAGCAUACUGCUGUCAGAGAGAGAGAGAGAGUGAGACAGAUAUAGCUA